RNAcentral lists this ribosomal RNA (869 nucleotides) under uncultured Verrucomicrobiota bacterium. Its description in RNAcentral is "bacterial SSU rRNA". It matches the Rfam family "Bacterial small subunit ribosomal RNA", at positions 49 to 886 of the family's 1533-position model. The record is from RNAcentral. Lineage: Bacteria; Pseudomonadati; Verrucomicrobiota.
UAAGACAUGCAAGUCGUGCGACAGACCAGGAAUUGAUUACUUCGGUUUGAUUUUCCUGACGAUGAGCGGCGAACGGGUGCGUAACACGUGAGAAAUCUGCCCUUAAGUUCGGGAUAGCCCUACGAAAGUAGAAUUAAUACCGGAUGUGGCCCAGGGAGGGCAUCCUCCCCUGGCUAAAGCUCGGUUAAAGAGCGCUUUUGGAUGAUCUCGCGGUCUAUCAGCUUGUUGGUGAGGUAAUGGCUCACCAAGGCUUUGACGGAUAGCUGGUCUGAGAGGAUGAUCAGCCUCACUGGAACUGAGACACGGUCCAGACACCUACGGGUGGCAGCAGUCGAGAAUCAUUCACAAUGGGCGCAAGCCUGAUGGUGCGACGCCGCGUGGGGGAAGAAGGGCUUCGGUUCGUAAACCCCUGUCAUCUGUGAGUAAGACUCCCAAUAAAAGCUUGGGAGGUUGAUAUUAGCAGAAGAGGAAGGGACGGCUAACUCUGUGCCAGCAGCCGCGGUAAUACAGAGGUCCCAAGCGUUGUUCGGAUUUACUGGGCGUAAAGGGUGCGUAGGCGGCUAGAAAAGUUUGAUGUGAAAUCUCCGGGCUUAACCCGGAAACUGCAUUGAAAACUAUCUGGCUAGAGGAUCGGAGAGGAGAUUGGAAUUCUCGGUGUAGCAGUGAAAUGCGUAGAUAUCGAGAGGAACACCAGUUGCGAAGGCGGAUCUCUGGACGGUUUCUGACGCUGAGGCACGAAAGCUGGGGUAGCGAAGAGGAUUAGAUACCCUCGUAGUCCCAGCCGUAAACGGUGCACACUUGCUGUGGGCGGAUUCGACCCCGUCCGUGGCGAAGCUAACGCGAUAAGUGUGCCGCCUGGGGAGUACGGU